RNAcentral lists this long non-coding RNA (2084 nucleotides) under Salmo salar (Atlantic salmon). RNAcentral's name for it is "lncRNA (ENSSSAG00000097917.1)". Lineage: Eukaryota; Metazoa; Chordata; Actinopteri; Salmoniformes; Salmonidae. The record is from RNAcentral.
CCUGUUCAGAGCGUAACACACCACAAUUCCACUCAGAAAUAAAAAAAGGACACUGCAUGAAAAGAACACAAACAGAAGCUCCUCAUGAACAAUCCAGAGAAACUAUUUAUUGUUACAAGACUGGGAACAUAAGCAACUUAAUUUUCCACACAGACAAUCCCCUGGCAUGGUACAGCUCUGUCUUGGUGACGACUCCCCCACACCAAGUGAGUCGCUCAACACCCCCACAGACGAGGAACCCCAAGACGAACAGGUCAACACACUCCAGUCAGCACAGACAACAGUCCAGCACAACAACACCCCCUCAACUAGACUCAGAGAGCUGGAGGGGGGUGAGAGACGUGUCUGCACUCUGGACUUUGGUGAGAAAACUUCAAUAGGAGAAAGAGUAGGAGCGGAAGGAGGAGGCCCAGCGGCAGGAGAAGAUGAGAGAAGAGGAGGAGAAAAAGAUGAAGGAGGAGGUGGUGAGAAAGAUGAAGGAGAUGAGAAAGAGGAAGUAGGAGGAGGAGAGAAAGAUGGAGGAGGAGGGAAUAAAGAUGGAGGAGGAGGGAAUAAAGAUGAAGGAGGAGGAGAGAGAAAUUGAUGAGGUGAGAAAGAUGAAAAAGGUGAGAAAGAUGGAGGAGGAGGUGAGAAAGAUGAAGGAGGAGGUGAGAAAGAUGAAGGAGAUGAGAAAGAUGGAGGAGGAGGUGAGAAAGAUGAAGGAGGUGAGAAAGAUGGAGGAGGAGGUGAGAAAGAUGGAGGAGAGAAAGAUGAAGGAGGAGGUGAGAAAGAUGGAGGAGAGAAAGAUGGAGGAGGAGCGGAGCAGGCCCUACUGUCUGGAGGAGGAGCGGAGCAGGCCCUACUGUCUGGAGGUGGAGCGGAGCAGGCCCUACUGUCUGGAAGAGGAGGGGAGCAGGCCCUACUGUCUGGAGGAGGAGCGGAGCAUGCCCUACUGUCUGGAGGAGGAGCGGAGCAGGCCCUACUGUCUGGAGGAUGAGCGGAGCAGGCCCUACUGUCUGGAGGAGGAGAGGAGCAGGCCCUACUCUCUGGAGGAGGAGCGGAGCAGGCCCUAAUGUCUGGAGGAGGAGGGGAGCAGGCCCUACUGUCUGGAGGAGGAGCGGAGCAGGCCCUACUGUCUGGAGGAUGAGCGGAGCAGGCCCUACUGUCUGGAGGAUGAGCGGAGCAGGCCCUAAUGUCUGGAGGAGGAGAGGAGCAGGCCCUACUGUCUGGAGGAGGAGAGGAGCAGGCCCUACAGUCGGGAGGAAAAUACAUUUAAAUAAAUAAUAUGCCCUCCUAAAACUGAUUAUAACUCCAGUUCUGUUUGUGAUGUGAAUAUUCUUACACCGACAGUGUGUUCGAUAGACUCAUUUAGGACUUGUCAAGGACGGUGGGGCUGCAAAAAAUAAAUGAUGAGCUGUCAAAAAUGACUGCUUUAGUGGUUCUAGCGGUAAAAAGUGUAGUAACAGCUCGACUUUAGAUCAUUAGAAAGCAUUCGGCAAAAUACACCUGAAUGGAUUUCUGCAAAUAUGUCGAUACCGCGGGAGUUUUCUUACAUUUGGGAUCUUUACAGUCCUAUUGAUCAAACAAAGUGAACAGUUAGGUUGUUUGCCUAUGUACUUGCCUGCCUGAGCACCAAUUUGAUCGAUGCCAAAAAAAACAUUUGAUUGACAACUAAGAAAUAUGCUAACUGUGGAUAACAGUCAUUCAAGUUUUCAUUAUAGCUUGCUAACAAAAGUGAUUGACAUUUCUUGCUAGCUAACCAAAUGACACCUGCAUCUCUAGCUGUAGCCACUGAAAAUAAAAACGAUACGGGGGGAAAAAGUCGGCCACUCACCCACUCGUCCAAUGACAUGACAUCCUCCCAGCAGCUAGCUAGCUAGCUAGCAUUAGGCUCUAUAUUUAGGCGUGCUAAAUAGCUACAUAAAUAGAUACGCUAGCCUAUUAGCCUAUUAGCCUAUUAGCCUAUUAGCCACGUUAUGACUGACUUGUUAGCGUUAGCCUCUCUGGUUUGAUUGUACUUCACAUUGCUAAACAUUAGCUACAGUCGUCCUGAAACUGUGCAUCCCGAAUGGCUGGAGGCAGUAAACAAUGUCCCAGGCCAGCGG